RNAcentral lists this ribosomal RNA (497 nucleotides) under uncultured bacterium. RNAcentral's name for it is "partial 16S ribosomal RNA". It matches the Rfam family "Bacterial small subunit ribosomal RNA", at positions 28 to 507 of the family's 1533-position model. The record is from RNAcentral.
GAUGAACGCUGGCGGCGUGCCUAAUACAUGCAAGUCGAGCGAACAGACGAGGAGCUUGCUCCUCUGACGUUAGCGGCGGACGGGUGAGUAACACGUGGAUAACCUACUUAUAAGACUGGGAUAACUUCGGAAAACCGGAGCUAAUACCGGAUAAUAUAUUGAACCGCUUGGUUCAAUAGUGAAAGACGGUUUUGCUGUCAAUUAUAGAUGGAUCCGCGCCGCAUUAGCUAGUUGGUAAGGUAACGGCUUACCAAGGCAACGAUGCGUAGCCGACCUGAGAGGGUGAUCGGCCACACUGGAACUGAGACACGGUCCAGACUCCUACGGGAGGCAGCAGUAGGGAAUCUUCCGCAAGGGGCGAAAGCCUGACGGAGCAACGCCGCGUGAGUGAUGAAGGUCUUCGGUUCGUAAAACUCUGUUAUUAGGGAAGAACAAAUGUGUAAGUAACUAUGCACGUCUUGACGGUACCUAAUCAGAAAGCCACGGCUAACUACGUG